RNAcentral lists this long non-coding RNA (2060 nucleotides) under Portunus trituberculatus (swimming crab). RNAcentral's name for it is "uncharacterized LOC123511505". The record is from RNAcentral. Lineage: Eukaryota; Metazoa; Arthropoda; Malacostraca; Decapoda; Portunidae.
UACUAAUAUAUAUCUUACACUAACACCCCCUCCCUCUCUCUCUCUCUCUCCUUAGCUAACACGUAACAGCAUGAUAGGCCUAACAGUACAGCAUAGGCCUAGCAUAUACGUAUGUACAUUGUAGUGAGUGAGUUGUAGCAGCAGACUCUUACAAGAAAGGUACCAUACAUAGAUUUUCACAGGAAACCGCAUAUCGCCUGUAUUCUGGAACGCCUUGCCGCCUCCCCCCACCUCUCUCUCUCUCUCUCUCUGACAAUUUGUUUUCCAAGGCCACAGAGACGAUUAGGCAGGUUUUCAAGUUUCUCCUUUGAAUACACUAGAAAUGUUGCCAAUUCAUCACCAGAACUAUGAAAACACUCUUAAAAACACGAAUAGAGACAACUAUCCACGUUUUAUCCUUUCAAUACACUAGAAAUCUUACUAAUUCAUCACCAGAACCAUACAAACGCGAGUAUCUUCAACUGGGGCCUAUGGAGAGCAGUGGCGGUGUGAGCAAAGGCCUUUCAGAAUACGUGCCUAAGUAUUGAAGUCUUUACAAUCAUACUCUACAAUUGAUUUCUUGAUUUUGUUAUUGAGUUAAGAAGAAAUUGUGUUUUUUGUUCUUUUUUAUAUAUUUUUGGUUUGUUUUGAUGUUUUGGCUUAAUUUACAGCAAGGGAGGGAGGGAGGGACGGACACAAUGAUGCGCCAAUGCUAUGCUAAUCUAUGCUAUGUUAUGCUGUUAUGCUAGUACUAUGCUAAUCCUAAUGUUAUGCUAUGCUAACCUAACCUAAUGCAAUGCUAAAUGCUAUGCUAAUGUUAUGCUAUUCUAUGCUGACCUGUUAUGUUGACCUAUGCUGAUGUUAUGCUAAGAUGUUAUGCUAUGCUGUGCCAAGCUAUGCUAAUCCUGUUAUGUUGCUAUGCUAACCUAUACUAAUGUUAUGCUAUGCUAUGCUAACCUAUGCUAUUAUUAUGCUAAUACUAUGCUUAACUAUGCUAAUGUGCUAAUCUAUGCUAUUGUGAUGCUAAUCUAUGCUGCUCUUAUGCUAACCUUGUUCUUAUGCUGUUAAUUGUUAUGCUAUGCUAAUGCUAUGUUAUGCUAUGCUAUGCUACAAUGCUUAACACAGCAGGUUAUGGUGUGGGGAGACUUGAAAAAUAUGUGGUGAAUGAAAUGGUUAGGUUAGGUUAGGUUAAGAUAAGGUCAAGUUAGAUAAAGGUCAAGUGAGAUAAGGUCAAGAUAAAGUUUAAGGUACAUAAGGUCAAGUUAGUAUGAAUAAAGCUAGGUUGAGUUAGGUUAGGUUAAGUUAGAUAAGAAUAAGUUACAUUAUUUGAAAGUAUAUAAAAAAAGUUAGGUUAGGUUAGACAAAAUUGAAGUUCCAUUAGGUCAAUAUUAAUAAAAGCUAGGUUGAGUUAGGUUAGGUUAGGUAAGGUUAGGUUAGGUUAGGUUAGGUUAGGUUAGACAAAAUUGAAGUUCCAUUAGGUCAAUAUUAAUAAAAACUAGGUUGAGUUAGGUUAGGUUAGGUUAGGUAAGGUUAGGUUAGGUUAGGUUAGCUAAGGUUAGGUUAGGUUAGACAAAAUUGAAGUUCCAUUAGGUCAAUAUUAAUAAAAGCUAGACUGAGUUAGGUUAGGUCAAGUUAGAUGAAGUUAGUAGAAAAGCUAGGUUGAGUUAGGUUAGGUUAGGUUAGGUUAGAUCAAGCUGUAUUAUUUAAAGAUCAGUUAUAAUUUCUCGUUGACAAUAAAUAGUGCAGUUAUUGAAGUUAUUAGACAUUAGUUAAGGUGUGGACAUUAGAAACACUGAUAAGAAAAGCUGUCCUCUUAAGCUUGUAUAUCUCAGAAAAGUUACGAUUUUAAGCUUAAAUGUGAGGGAAUGACUGUUUGAAAGCUUAAAUACAGGCAGAGAGUGAAAGAUUAGGUUACAGAAGCUUUAAUAAUAAUAAUAAUAAUAAUAAUAAUAAUAAUAAUAAUAAUAAUAAUAAUAAUAAUUCGACUAAUAUAUUGUUGGAAAUCUUGUGAAUCAGAGAGAGAGAGAGAGAGAGAGAGAGAGAGAGAGAGAGAGAGAGAGAGAGAGAGAGAGAGAGAGAGA